Molecule: microRNA precursor, 101 nt
Filed under: Leersia perrieri
Lineage: Eukaryota; Viridiplantae; Streptophyta; Magnoliopsida; Poales; Poaceae
Description: pre miRNA mir-166
Rfam family: mir-166 microRNA precursor family
About the family: This family represents the plant microRNA (miRNA) precursor mir-166.
Source: RNAcentral
GGUGUUUGGAAUGAAAGUUUGAUCCAAGAUCUACCUAUUUAUCAAACUGGUGUUCAAUCGCUAGCUAGGUAGAUCUCGGAUCAGGCUUCAUUCCUCACACC